Molecule: ribosomal RNA, 253 nt
Filed under: uncultured bacterium
Lineage: Bacteria
Description: partial 16S ribosomal RNA
Rfam family: Bacterial small subunit ribosomal RNA
Source: RNAcentral
UACGUAGGGGGCUAGCGUUGUCCGGAAUCAUUGGGCGUAAAGCGCGCGUAGGCGGUCAGGAAAGUCCGGUGUGAAAGUCAUAGGCUCAACCUAUGGAUGCCGCUGGAAACUGCCUGACUUGAGUCCGGAAGGGGCGAGUGGAAUUCCUGGUGUAGCGGUGAAAUGCGCAGAUAUCAGGAGGAACACCGGUGGCGAAGGCGGCAUCCUGGACCGACACUGACGCUGAGGAGCGAAAGCCAGGGGAGCAAACGGG